This is a long non-coding RNA of Oreochromis aureus, 1420 nucleotides long. NCBI's taxonomy places the organism in Eukaryota, Metazoa, Chordata, Actinopteri, Cichliformes, Cichlidae. The record is from Ensembl.
UCAACACGAGAGUCUGUGAGGACUGACUCACUGCUGGAGUCGCCCUCGGGUGGCCAUGAAAGGAACUGCGGUCUUUGGUGCGUCCAUAUUGGCAGCUUAAUGUUACUGUAAGGAGGACGUGAUUUACAAACUGAAACUACAACCUGAGCUCAGUGUUUGCCGUUGGGUCUUAUUGUCAAAGAUUGCAAACCUUUCAGAUAUGGAAGCUAUGUCCAUCUUUAAUAUACAGUCUGUGGCUUUGACGGUGGUCCUUAGAGAAGUUGUUGUAAAGUUCUUGUGGCGGGGCUGAUGAUUUUAGAAAGAACUCUAAACUUCCUCUAUUAAAGAUUUGGGGUUAAUAUUCUCAGAGAUUGCAGUAAAAAUAUCACAAAAAAUACAAAUGUAGCAUCUUUUAAAGAGUUGAAGUUGAUUCCUCAUGUAUGAAACAGUGCACUUAUGAUCACAGUUACAGGCCUGUGUGGAAGUAAAAUUAAAGCUACGCGCUCUUCGUUUGUAAUAUUUCCUGAUAUGAGGUGGAGCUGCAUGCAGCAUGUUGGCUGCAGAUCAAUCUGAUCCAGCUCAUUGACUUUGCGCUGUAGUCCCUGCGCACGCCUGCUUUCCAUGAACGAAUCAGCUGCCUCGCAGCUUUGUUGGCAGCCUUAAAAAAAACAAAACAAAAGCUGCUUCAUUGCCAAACACAGAAGUUUGAUUCUAAAACGUCUCAAUCUAAAAAGGCUGUUUGUAUCCCGUGAGGAGCCAUAUGGUGGAGUUUUUCAUUCCAAAACGAAGCGACCGGCAGCAUCAAAGUUAACCUCCCCGCUGAACGCAUUAAUAUUAAUAUCCAUCUUCAGCCCCAGCGAUACAAAGCACUGACAUUUUGGAGGAUUUAAUCAUCCUUGCAUUUUCAACAGUUAUCACAGCGCCGUGAUUUAUUUCCAAAACAGGGUACAGGAGGCGCGCUGGGAACAGGAGGAUUCGUAUGUGGCGCAGCUGCAGCUGUGAUCUGUAAUAGCAGAUGGUUAUCAGUGUUUUCUUCUGAUCUGAGCUCAGCGUGGGAAGAAAAUCCCUCCAGUUGGAGGAAGAUACCUGCUGCCUCUGUUUGGUGCGAGCAGCUGUUGGAGGCUGAAGGUCGGCGCUUCUUUUCACUCAGAGCUGAUCGGCGUGUUCGGCUCGCCGCGUCAGCGAAGGAGAAAUGAGUUUCUGGAGCGCUGGUUGUGUUUCUGAAUGAGAGAUGCUGGCUAAGCUGAAAGUCUGUGUUUGGCAUCACCAACACGAGCCUCACAAAUCUGAGAAACUUUGUUAGUAAAUGUGUGUUUUUCAGCAUCGGGUCGAAGGCCAAGCAGUUUAUUUGUGAAUGUUUGAUCCUGGAUACGUGACAAGUGCAGGUUUGGUGCGACGGUCCUGAUCACAUCGCAGCGUCACAUCUGUACAGUUGAGCCCG